RNAcentral lists this ribosomal RNA (390 nucleotides) under Triticum aestivum (bread wheat). RNAcentral's name for it is "partial small subunit ribosomal RNA". The record is from RNAcentral. Lineage: Eukaryota; Viridiplantae; Streptophyta; Magnoliopsida; Poales; Poaceae.
AUGAAGCCAAAGCAGUGGCUUUCAAAAAUUGUUAUUGAGACUAGAAUCAUACACAUCAUGGAUAACUUACCAGAAGGGUCAAAGAAAGUUGUCAUUCCACUGAGGUUUUCUAUCAAUUUACAGCAUGGGAUCUUCAAUGUGAAUGAGGUAAACAAGAAGUUUGAAUACAAGAACCGUCUUGACAAGAAAGAUUUGGUCAAGAUGCUAGUGCUUGAGUGCAAUAAUGUAAAUGACCGCAAAGGAGGCAGGCAUUAUUGGGUCUUCAACAUCAACCUGAGGGACAGACGUUUUGAAGUCUUUGAUUCAAACAGGAAGCUAGAAGACAUUGAGUUGAUGAACACCGCCUCUACAAUUGCGGGGGCAGUACGCCAGCUAUGGAGGAAGCAUUAG